AUGAUGUUGUUGCCCUCUUCCUCCAUGCUGCUGCCGCCUUCGAUUCAGCCCCCCGCGCCCAGCAGUCUCCGCAUUGAGCUACCCCAUGCACAUAAGUUGUUUGUGUAUAUACCCCAAACAAAAAGGUAUGUUUUUUGUGUCUACAUUGUAGUCCAAAGAAGUUUUGCACAUAAGCUCAAGUGGUUAUUACUGCUGCAAUUUAUAGAUGUUGACGUUGAUGAUUCUGUACACAUUUUAACAGAAGUUCAAAGUUUCAAUCAAAAGGGGGGAAAAGAGCUCCAUUUUAUGAAGAAAACUAAAAAGCCAUUGUCACAGGGACGAUCAUGA
Molecule: ribosomal RNA, 327 nt
Filed under: Triticum aestivum (bread wheat)
Lineage: Eukaryota; Viridiplantae; Streptophyta; Magnoliopsida; Poales; Poaceae
Description: partial small subunit ribosomal RNA
Source: RNAcentral